CUUGAAAUUCAAAGGAUUUGGCGGUAUUUUAGUCUAGUUAGAGGAACCUGUUUCAUAAAUGAUGCUACACGUAAUAUCUUACUAGCUUUUGUUUGAAGUUUGUAUACCUCCAUUAUUAGAUAACUUUUAUAGAAAUAGUUAUUGAAAGUAAAUUUUUUAAAUAUAUUAGGUCAAGGUGCAGCUUAUAAGAAUAGGGAGAAUGGGUUACAAUAGAAUUUAUUUAAAACGGAUUAGGAGCGGAAGAUAGCUGUUAUGAAGGAGGAUUUAAUUGUAAUGGAUUUUUAAUAAGAUUCAAUGAGAAAAGUACUAAAUUAUGUACACAUACGCCCG
This 330-nucleotide ribosomal RNA is filed under the name Engaeus laevis. RNAcentral's name for it is "partial 12S ribosomal RNA". Lineage: Eukaryota; Metazoa; Arthropoda; Malacostraca; Decapoda; Parastacidae. The record is from RNAcentral.